RNAcentral lists this ribosomal RNA (253 nucleotides) under uncultured bacterium. RNAcentral describes it as "partial 16S ribosomal RNA". It matches the Rfam family "Bacterial small subunit ribosomal RNA", at positions 524 to 776 of the family's 1533-position model. The record is from RNAcentral.
UACAGAGGGUGCGAGCGUUAAUCGGAAUUACUGGGCGUAAAGCGCGCGUAGGCGGCUUUGCAAGUCGGGUGUGAAAUCCCCAGGCUUAACCUGGGAACUGCAUUCGAGACUGCAUUGCUAGAGUAUGGGAGAGGGAAGUGGAAUUUCCGGUGUAGCGGUGAAAUGCGUAGAUAUCGGAAGGAACACCAGUGGCGAAGGCGGCUCACUGGACCGGAACUGACGCUGAGGCGCGAAAGCGUGGGGAGCAAACGGG